AGAGAGAGAGAGAGAGAGAGAAGAAAGUGCAUGUGUACAUAUGCAUGACUGUACAGGCUCUCCUGUCUCCACCCCCCCCAUCUCCCCCACAGUGCUGAGGCUACAGAAGCACACCGCUGUGCCUGGCUUCUACAUGGGCAUGAGGGAUUUGAACUCAGAUUCCCAUGCUUGCACGGUGAUGGGGGAAGGACAUUGGUUAAUUAUAAUAAAGAAACUGCUUCGGCCCUCAUAGGACAGAAAAUUAGGUAGGCGGAGUAGACAGAAGAGAAUUCUGGGAGAAAGAAGCUUAGUUGAGGAGUCGCCAUGAUGCUCCCACGCCAGACAGAUCCUCCCUGCCUACACUAAGCUCUCUCAGCAGUCCUCCAGCGAGGAGCAAACUAUGCUGCAACACUGAUCUAAGAGACAAACGAAGACGGCAGGAGAGUCUGCACCACAUUCAGCAUGGAGAGUCUGUGUUUACUGAAGUGGCUGGAGAAGGACACACAGUUACAGAUUCCUUUUCCCCAGCACCAGAUGCCUGAACUGCUAUGAUAUUCGUGAACUUGAUCACUGUCGAAUUCACAGCUAUCAUCCUGAACCAUUAAAGUGGCCAAUCAUGAAGGGAACCCAUAUUUGACUUGAGCAAAGAAGUUGGUUAGCUUCAGAAAGAAAAACAGAUUCUAAAUGCAUACAGCAUGUCUGUUUCAGCAAUGGGUGCUGCUCAGAGCCAUUCUUCUGAAAGGAGCAGUUAUGAAUCAGUUACCUUCUUUUCCAGAACACAUUUCUAUUUGAGAAAACCACAAAUGAACUGGAAAACACCUGCUCGACAGUGGAUGGGCCGCAAGGGUCCGGAUGAGCUGUGUUCUGUCAUUCCACAUGACUGACAGCAUUUGAGGUCAGCGAUUAAAAUGCUAUCAAAUGAAAACCAGACUUCUGAGAAACUGUAUUUGUCCUCAGUUUCCCCAUGUGAAAGACUUUCAAUGCGGCUGGUGCAGAUGGUCACAUGACUUUUGAUACUGCAUCAUUCGAUAUGCUGACAUUGGGAUACUAUAUUAAUUAAGAAACAACUAUGUCAGGGCAGGAGAGAUGGCUCAGCAGUUGAGAGCCCUGGCUGCUUUUUCAGAGGACCUGAGUUCAAUUUCCAGCACCCACAAGUAUCUAUAACUCCAGUUCCAGAGGAUCUGACACCUUCACACCAAUGCACAUAAAAUAAAUUAAAAAAAGAAACAAAUAUGUCUUCAGUGAGACAUGUACGACUAAAACACCACACACGUGGACCAGUGCAUGCAACUAACAACAGAUCUUUUUUUUUAAAGCUAUACAUCUUUCCUUUUUUUUAAAUAUUUAUUUAUUUAUUUAUUUAUUUAUUUAUUUAUUUAUUUAUUUAUUUAUUAUGUAUACAAUAGUCUGUCAGUGUGUAUGCCUGCAGGCCAGAAGAGGGCACCAGACCACAUUACAGAUGGUUGUGAGCCACCAUGUGGUUGCCGGGAAUUGAACUCAGGACCUUUGGAAGAGCAGGCAAUGCUCUUAACCGCUGAGCCAUCUCUCCAGCCCAACAACAGAUCUUAACAGGAUACAAAUUCCUCAGUGUAACAAGAUUGGAGAUAUUACUAACUGUUAAGUUUUGGUGUAUUAUCAAACGAUGUCUACAAUUAUCCGUAAAACUCCUCAUCUCUCUUUUCCAACUAUAUAUUUGUGUGAGUUCAGACUCUUUCCCACCAAACAAUACUCAAACAAAUAACAGCACACUAUACUGACAGCAGGACCAGCUAUGGCCUCCCCACUCUCUCACAUUGGUGCAGACACUGCAGAGAUAUGAAGUACGGGGCGGGAGGGAAGCUGAGUGAGAAUGGAAGGCACCAUGUACAACAUGAAACCCAAAGAAUAGAUUUAACUAAAAUAAAAUAUGCUGGGUGGUAGUGGCACACACCUUUAAUCCUAGCCCCACAGAGACAGAGGCAGGUAGAUCUCUGGGUUUGAGGCCAGCCUGGUCUACAGGAUGAGUUCCAGGACAGCCAGGGGUACACACAGAAAACCUGUCUUGAAUAACCCCCCCAAAAAAAGAAAAGAAAAAUCAUGAUGUUUGUCUGACUAAUAUUUCAUUUUUAAAAAAUAGUUAUUUUCAUAAAAAUCCAUUAAUACAUACAUAAUAGCUACCUUAAAGAAUGAAAAGGUAUUAAUAAAUAUUAAUAUAAAUUUCAAUAUUUUAUAAUUUUAUGUUUAGUAUUCUCAUAAAUUUCUUUUAAGCAAAGAUUUUCUUUUUUUAAUUUAUGUGUAAGGGUGCGUGGGAGAGCCUGCAGGGACCAGAAGAGGGUGUUAGAUUCCCCUGGAGGUGAAGUCACAGGUGGUCAUGAGUUGCUGGACGCUGGGAACUAGCCCUCUGGAAGAGCAGCAAGUACAAGAGCCACCUCUCCAGCCCCUGCAUCCAUUUCUAAUACUGCAGACAUCCACAGACAGACCCUAUACAAGGCAAACCUUUUAGGGUCCUCUUUGUGCAUGUGAAUGAGUUCUAAGAAUAAAAAGAUUAAAAUCCCGAUACUCAAGUACCACAGAUCAAGAAAAAAAAAAAAAAAAACCCUUUUCAGGGGUCAUAGGGUAUUUAGCUCUGUGGUCCAUAAAGUCUCUGUGGUUCCUGCUGAACUUGGUCACUAUACUGCAAAUGCACAGGUAAGACAGACUGCACACAUGAUACAUCAAUAAAACUUUUUUUAAAAAAACUAGAAACGCAACCCUCUCUUUGUUUCACCAUGCAAUCACACUACAGUUGGCUGAGUCUGAACUUGUAAAACUCAGAUCAUGCCGCUGCAGCCACAUUUUUUCUAUCUUUCUGCCGUCUUUGAGAUGUCCAGUCUCUGGGAUCUCCUGUCUCCUUUGUCGUGAAUCUUCCCCCGUUUCUGGCACGCUCUCCACUGGUGCCCUCAUGGGCACACCUUUCUUUACACCCUGCUUAGCAAUGCAGGCCUUGCCAGCUGGGGGAACAGGCCUGCGAUCUCAGCCACUCAACAAGCCGAGGCCGGGAUUACUAGUCAAGGCCUAUUUUGACUUCAGGGUGAAUUUAAUGCUGGCUUGGGCAACUGAGUGAGACCCUCUCUCAAAAUAAGAAGAAAAAGGGCUGAGGCGAUAGCUCAGCAAUAGAAUACUUGUUUACUGUUAACAAAAUAGUGUGGCCUUCCCUGUUCAUUUCUACCCACAGCGCUCAUCAUUUCCCUAAAGUAAUAAUAAUAGUAAUAUGUAUAUAUGUUUAUAUAUAUACACAAUAUAUAUAAAAUGAAAAAAUUAUACUAUAUAUAUAUAAAAUCUUUAAAGAUUUGUUCUGUUGUUUUUAUUUAUUUAUUUACUGUAAUGUGUGUGUUCUGGGCAUGUGCAGGUAGAGUUCAGAGGCCAACUUUUGGGAACCAAUUCUUUCCUUCUACCAUGGAGUCUGAGGCGUGAACUCAGGUCAUCAGGUUUGUGGGGCAAGUGCUUUUGCCUGCUGGGCUACCUUGCUGCCCCGGUCUGGCCCACUCAGCUAUUCCCAGCACACAGACCACUACAUGGCAUUGGCUGCCAUGACUGCAGCAGCAUGAACUGAGAUACAAACUCUAGGUGCAUCUGAAUUAUUUCAUUCACACAGUUAACUACAACAUAUACAAUAUGGACGGGUAUGCUUCAGCCACUUAAUGCAAAUGACCA
This is a long non-coding RNA of Alexandromys fortis (reed vole), 3651 nucleotides long. RefSeq lists it as uncharacterized. The transcript has 3 exons. NCBI's taxonomy places the organism in Eukaryota, Metazoa, Chordata, Mammalia, Rodentia, Cricetidae. The record is from RefSeq and is a predicted model, not a curated record.